This 203-nucleotide unclassified non-coding RNA is filed under the name Hevea brasiliensis (rubber tree). Lineage: Eukaryota; Viridiplantae; Streptophyta; Magnoliopsida; Malpighiales; Euphorbiaceae. The record is from RNAcentral.
UGGGAGGAAGCAGCUUGUUUAACGGCUUAGAAUUCUGCAUGGUCAAGAAGCGAACAGGUCUGGAAACAGAGCUUAACCAUGUCUUAUGUUGUAUGUGCACUGGGCUUUGAGAAUCUUGCAGAAAAAGUGUAUUUGAAUAUAAUAAGAAAAAGGCACAGAAAGGAUUGGCACUGGAUUUUUUGGUGGUAUUGACUAUAGAGGGG